This 430-nucleotide long non-coding RNA is filed under the name Salvia miltiorrhiza (redroot sage). RNAcentral's name for it is "long non-coding RNA (SMIL_LNC008686)". Lineage: Eukaryota; Viridiplantae; Streptophyta; Magnoliopsida; Lamiales; Lamiaceae. The record is from RNAcentral.
AAAUAUUUCUCACCUGCAAACUCAUCACUGAUCGCCUGUGGUGGUUUUUCCUCGUCUGCACCGACUAGUUUUAAGCUCUCCUCUCGCGAUUUCAAGAUGUUGAAUCUAGCCAUGAUGGAAUCUGCAUGCUUACCAUCGACUAUCUCAGACCAUUGCUGCUCUUGCGUAUGUAUGGGAUUCAGGUUCUCCUCUCGCGAUUUCAAGAUAUUGAAUCUGGUUAUGAUGGAAUUUGCAUCAACUAUCUCGGACCGUUGCUGCUCUUCCGCAUUUAUGGUUUUCAGGUUCUCCUCUCGAGAUUUCAAGAUACUGAACCUGGCUAGGACAGAAGACUCGAUACAAUCAGCACGCCCGCCCACGCCAGAAGCAGAUACAUUUGGUGAGGUGGGUUUAGGGGAUGUGUCGACACAAGCCUUGGGAGCCAGCACAGACA